Molecule: long non-coding RNA, 538 nt
Organism: Triplophysa dalaica
Lineage: Eukaryota; Metazoa; Chordata; Actinopteri; Cypriniformes; Nemacheilidae
Exons: 3
Source: RefSeq, a predicted model, not a curated record
CCCAAAUAGACUUCUCUUUAGUCUCUCUUGCAGUCAUAUCAUGUUUAGUACUGGAAAAGAUAAAUAUGAAAACCAAACGAAAUGGAUUACUGUUUUUUAAUCAAGAGAAGAAAACUGGAAUUUAUUUCUAGGGUUCAACCUGCUGCAAAUCAGUUAAACAAUCUGAUUCUCAGGAGAAAUAUGUCCGAUUAAGGGAAGACAAUGAGGUUUACGACUCGACAGACAUAACAUGUGGUUUACCCGAACAAGUUCAGAUUUCUGUCCAGUGUCAGGAGGACCCUGAGGGUAACAAUGGAUUCAUAAUAUAUGACAUGGAGGCCAUUCCUGUUGCCAACUUCCUGUUACCUUCCAAAGCAAAAGAUCAUGCUAAAGAUGAAGGAUAAUAUAAAUAACUUACAAAAGAAAAAACACACAAAAAAACAAUUUUAUAUUAUUACUUUGUUAAAAUUAUUAUUAUUCAUGUUGUUAUUACCUACAACAACAUUGUGUAUUCUUUUGUGUUAUGGUCUCUGUGAACUGGAUGCUCCUAUAUGGGCAA